This 359-nucleotide long non-coding RNA is filed under the name Equus caballus (horse). Its description in RNAcentral is "lncRNA (ENSECAG00000050951.1)". The record is from RNAcentral. Lineage: Eukaryota; Metazoa; Chordata; Mammalia; Perissodactyla; Equidae.
UAAAUUUAAUAUAUUGACAUCUUAUAGUUGAUAGUUUUAAAUUUAAGCUAUUUUCUUUUAAUAAAAGAAAAUGAAGCUAACAUGAAGCUGAAGGGAUUGGUAAAUUUUAAAUGUUUCUUCACCACAUGAGAGCUAUUGUCUCCUAAAUAAUUCUGCAAAGAUUCAGAAAGGAGAUGAUGAAAGACAAGAAGAGAGUGAAGUAACGGUGUUUUAUUCGUACAUCUCUCCGCUUUGGAGAGCAGCAAAUAUGUAUCAAACAUGGUUCUCAGCUCCGGGGAUGUAGCAGGGAAGAAAACAGAUGAACAUUCCUGCCUUCUUGGAAUUUACAUUCCAUGGAGAGAAGCAGACAAUAAAGAAGG